ACAGAGCCCGUGAAUCCGGGCGCGCGGAAUUCAGGAUCGACGGCGCGCGCGCGCGUUACUAGCGUGGCGUCGCGCGCGUCGUCGAUUCGAUAUUUCCGCCGCCGACCCGCUUCAAACGGGUGCGGACGUCGCGACCCGUUCGCCGCCGGUCUCACGGGGCGCGUUUCAAGUUCGUCGCGCGUCGUUUCGUGCGCGCGUCCCUCGGGUCGCGCGCGCGAUGACGCGCGGCGAUGGCGCGCUUUUCGCGGGCCGGCGUUUUGCGGACGGUAGCCUCGAGCGUGCGGGUAAUCGACGCGGCCGAACGGCGAACGGUCGAACGUUCGUCGGGCGUGCGCGUCGACGCCGGUCAGCGACGAAUCUUCGGGCCUCUUUCCGACCCGUCUUGAAACACGGACCAAGGAGUCUAACGUGCGCGCGAGUCGCGGGGUAUCCGAGUCGGUAACGCGACUCGUCACGAUACGAAACCCGUGUGUACGUACGUUGUGCGAAGGCGUAAUGAAAGUGAAAGGCGCGCGCGUGCGAACGCGCGCGCCGGGGAAGACGGCGUUUCCGAGUACACGUUUCUCGGUCGUACGGUACCGAGACCGGGCGCCCGCAUUCCCAGGGCGUCCCGCUCGUACGUCGGGCGCGUCGGACGCGCGGUCGUUUCGGCGGCCGCGCGUCGGCGCCCGGCGAACUGGGGCGCACCUCUAGCGUGCACGUUGGUACCCGAAAGAUGGUGAACUAUGCCCGGCCAGGAU
This 740-nucleotide ribosomal RNA is filed under the name Ericerus pela. RNAcentral's name for it is "partial 28S ribosomal RNA". Lineage: Eukaryota; Metazoa; Arthropoda; Insecta; Hemiptera; Coccidae. The record is from RNAcentral.